Molecule: ribosomal RNA, 438 nt
Filed under: uncultured bacterium
Lineage: Bacteria
Description: partial 16S ribosomal RNA
Rfam family: Bacterial small subunit ribosomal RNA
Source: RNAcentral
GAUGAACGCUGGCGGUAUGCUUAACACAUGCAAGUCGAACGCAGACUUUCGGGUCUUAGUGGCGUACGGGUGAGUAACGCGUGAUAAUCUGGCUUCAGAUUGGGUACAACCACGGGAAACGUUGGCUAAUACCCAAUGUGCCGUUAAGGUGAAAUAUUAAUUCCCUGAAGAUGCGCUCGCGUCUGAUUAGCUAGUUGGUGGGUUAAGAUCUCACCAAGGCGACGAGAAGUAUCUGGUCUGAGAGGACGAUCAGCCACACUGCUACUGAGACACGGCACAGACGAAUCCGGGAGGAAGGAGUGAGGAAUGUUCCGCCAAGGGCGAGAGACUGACGAAGCAAUACCGAGUGAGGGAGGAAGGCUCUUGGGUUGAAAACCUCUUUUCUUAACGAAGAAGGCAAUGACGGUACCUGAGGAAUAAGCAACGGCUAACUCCGUG